GGACUACUCGGGUAUCUAAUCCCGUUUGCUCCCCUGGCUUUCGCGCCUCAGCGUCAGAAGAGGUCCAGCGUGCCGCCUUCGCCACCGGAGUUCCUAUCGAUAUCAACGCAUUUCACCGCUCCACCGAUAGUUCCGCACGCCCCUACCUCCCUCGAGACAAUCAGUAUCCACGGCAGUUCUCCAGUUGAGCUGGAGGAUUUCACCACAGACUUGACCGCCCGCCUACGCGCCCUUUAAGCCCAGUGAUUCCGAACAACGUUCGCACGGUUCGUCUUACCGCGGCUGCUGGCAC
Molecule: ribosomal RNA, 292 nt
Filed under: uncultured Planctomycetota bacterium
Lineage: Bacteria; Pseudomonadati; Planctomycetota
Description: uncultured planctomycete partial 16S ribosomal RNA
Source: RNAcentral